Molecule: long non-coding RNA, 319 nt
Organism: Tarenaya hassleriana
Lineage: Eukaryota; Viridiplantae; Streptophyta; Magnoliopsida; Brassicales; Cleomaceae
Exons: 3
Source: RefSeq, a predicted model, not a curated record
UUUUGGGCUUUAAGUUAAACCUACAUUGCUCUCACCGUCUCCUCGGAAGGGUUUUCUUUGUGUCUGUAUCUGUAUUUGUCUUUCUGAAGCUUUAGUCGAUCGUCCAUGGCCAACUCCUCCGCCAGCUCCGCCGCAAGCCGCUACCAUAACCUCUCCAUCAAUCCGUCGAAUCAUAUCUUCAAAGAUGUCCAGGGUUCUGACAAUCUGGUUCCGCUUUCACCUCAGUGGCUUCUGCCAAAAACAGGGGAGAGCAAGACAGGAAUGGGAACUGGAGAAGGAAAGGUCCUGCAACAUCCCUAUAGCAGUCGCUUGGUUGCUG